This 329-nucleotide ribosomal RNA is filed under the name uncultured eukaryote. RNAcentral describes it as "partial 18S ribosomal RNA". It matches the Rfam family "Eukaryotic small subunit ribosomal RNA", at positions 1470 to 1796 of the family's 1831-position model. The record is from RNAcentral.
CCCUUAGAUGUUCUGGGCCGCACGCGCGCUACACUGAUGCAUUCAACGAGUCUAAAACCUGCUCUGAUAGGGGUGGGUAAUCUUUUGAAUGUGCAUCGUGAUUGGGAUAGAUGAUUGCAAUUUUUCAUCUUCAACGAGGAAUGCCUAGUAAACGCAAGUCAUCAACUUGCAUUGAUUACGUCCCUGCCCUUUGUACACACCGCCCGUCGCUCCUACCGAUUGAAUGAUCCGAUGAAUAUCAUGGAUUGAGGAUGCAAGCAGGUUCGCCUGUCUUCAUCUUCGAGAAGUGAAGUAAAUCUUAUCAUUUAGAGGAAGGAGAAGUCGUAACA